Molecule: long non-coding RNA, 264 nt
Filed under: Lathyrus oleraceus (garden pea)
Lineage: Eukaryota; Viridiplantae; Streptophyta; Magnoliopsida; Fabales; Fabaceae
Description: Pisum sativum (pea) long non-coding RNA (PSAT_LNC023821)
Source: RNAcentral
UAGAGCAUCACAAAAUGGAAUAUUUACUUAUAACACUGUGAGCAUCUCUAUGAACUUUUUAAACUUCCCCACUUUCAUCUCCCUCUUAGGUUUAUUCUUAAUAAAAGGGUAACAUGGCUUGAUAUAAUCGAGUAAGCCAGAGGUUGGUUCAUUGAUGAUUUGUUUUUUCUCCUAAAAGGUGAAUCUUUAUCAAUAAAUUCGUCAAGUGUAUCUCCCCCACAAUAGUUUCGCUCGAAACUUCAUCCUCUGUAGGUUUGGUUUUUG